GUCGGCGGAGGACCAGACUGGAAUUUUGCAGCUGCCAUCACCGAGGAGCUUGGGGUCAGCGGUGUAUAGUCCGGCGGAAGAUGACCGCAAGGAGGCCACUAGUGCUCAGCAGGUGCUUGCCUGGCUGAAACUGCUGUCGGAGGUGGCAGAACUGCAAGGCCAGGCGGUGUCUUGCUUGGUGGGGGUUUCCAGGGGAGAGCUGGUCUGCCAGCGGUCGGUUUCCAGCGGAGGAUGCUAGCGAAGGCUAGUGGAGGAACCUGUUGCUUUGACCGGCCUUGGAUGGUUGAAUGGCUAGCGGAGCUCCGGGACAGUCGUGGAGCAUGGGCAGUGGCACAGUCGCGCUGAAGAGCUGGUGGAAGGGCUCGCUGGCGGCCUGAUGCAACGAAGAAGGAGGGUGGCCUAAGCAGAUCUCUGGGUGUC
RNAcentral lists this long non-coding RNA (420 nucleotides) under Rosa chinensis. Its description in RNAcentral is "sRNA RchiOBHm_Chr6g0266451". Lineage: Eukaryota; Viridiplantae; Streptophyta; Magnoliopsida; Rosales; Rosaceae. The record is from RNAcentral.